This 301-nucleotide ribosomal RNA is filed under the name uncultured bacterium. Its description in RNAcentral is "partial 16S ribosomal RNA". It matches the Rfam family "Bacterial small subunit ribosomal RNA", at positions 509 to 807 of the family's 1533-position model. The record is from RNAcentral.
CAGUAGCCGCGGGAAUACGGAGGGUGCAAGCGUUAAUCGGAAUUACUGGGCGUAAAGCGCACGCAGGCGGUUUGUUAAGUCAGAUGUGAAAUCCCCGAGCUUAACUUGGGAACUGCAUUUGAAACUGGCAAGCUAGAGUCUUGUAGAGGGGGGUAGAAUUCCAGGUGUAGCGGUGAAAUGCGUAGAGAUCUGGAGGAAUACCGGUGGCGAAGGCGGCCCCCUGGACAAAGACUGACGCUCAGGUGCGAGAGCGUGGGGAGCAAACAGGAUUAGAUACCCCUGUAGUCCCUGUCUCUUAUAC